AAUUCAGUACACUGUAGGCAACUG
This 24-nucleotide non-coding RNA is filed under the name Cricetulus griseus (Chinese hamster). Lineage: Eukaryota; Metazoa; Chordata; Mammalia; Rodentia; Cricetidae. The record is from RNAcentral.